AUUGAACGCUGGCGGCAGGCCUAACACAUGCAAGUCGAACGAGUGGCGGACGGGUGAGUAAUGUCUGGGAAACUGCCUGAUGGAGGGGGAUAACUACUGGAAACGGUAGCUAAUACCGCAUACCAUCGGAUGUGCCUAGAUGGGAUUAGCUUGUAGGUGGGGUAACGGCCCAACUAGGCGACGAUCCCUAGCUGGUCUGAGAGGAGGACCGGCCACACUGGAACUGAGACACGGUCCAGACUCCAACGGGAGGAAGCAGUGGGGAAUAUUGCACAAUGGGCGCAAGCCUGAUGCAGCCAUGCCGGGUGUAUGAAGAAGGCCUUCGGGUUGUAAAGUACUUUCAGCGGGGAGGCGGUACCCGCAGAAGAAGGACCGGCUAACUCCGUGCCAGCAGCCGCGGUAAUAC
RNAcentral lists this ribosomal RNA (406 nucleotides) under uncultured bacterium. RNAcentral describes it as "partial 16S ribosomal RNA". It matches the Rfam family "Bacterial small subunit ribosomal RNA", at positions 29 to 526 of the family's 1533-position model. The record is from RNAcentral.